GAUAAUGAAGUAAUAAUUACUUUUAAUUUCGACUUAAAAAUAGGAUAGAAUUCAUCCCUUAUCU
This 64-nucleotide transfer RNA is filed under the name Hypselosoma matsumurae. RNAcentral's name for it is "tRNA-Arg". Lineage: Eukaryota; Metazoa; Arthropoda; Insecta; Hemiptera; Schizopteridae. The record is from RNAcentral.